This 512-nucleotide ribosomal RNA is filed under the name uncultured bacterium. Its description in RNAcentral is "partial 16S ribosomal RNA". It matches the Rfam family "Bacterial small subunit ribosomal RNA", at positions 28 to 523 of the family's 1533-position model. The record is from RNAcentral.
GAUGAACGCUGGCGGCGUGCCUAAUACAUGCAAGUCGAGCGGACCAAAGAGAGCUUGCUCUCUGAGGUUAGCGGCGGACGGGUGAGUAACACGUGGGUAACCUGCCUGUAAGACGGGGAUAACUUCGGGAAACCGAAGCUAAUACCGGAUGAUAAAGAGAAACGCCUGUUUCUUUUUUGAAAGUCGGCCUUGUGCUGACGCUUACAGAUGGGCCCGCGGCGCAUUAGCUAGUUGGUGAGGUAACGGCUCACCAAGGCGACGAUGCGUAGCCGACCGGAGAGGGUGAUCGGCCACACUGGGACUGAGACACGGCCCAGACUCCUACGGGAGGCAGCAGUAGGGAAUCUUCGGCAAUGGACGAAAGUCUGACCGAGCAACGCCGCGUGAGCGAUGAGGGCCUUCGGGUCGUAAGCUCUGUUGUCAGAGAAGAACAAGUACCGGAGUGACUGCCGGUACCUUGACAGUACCUGACCAGAAAGCCACGGCUAACUACGUGCCAGCCGCCGCUGUAA